This 242-nucleotide ribosomal RNA is filed under the name uncultured bacterium. Its description in RNAcentral is "partial 16S ribosomal RNA". It matches the Rfam family "Bacterial small subunit ribosomal RNA", at positions 84 to 334 of the family's 1533-position model. The record is from RNAcentral.
UACCCAGUCGAGCGGCGAACGGGUGAGUAACGCGUGGAUGACCUGCCCUUAGGUGGGGGAUAACCCGGGGAAACUCGGGCUAAUACCGCAUAACAUCGUGAGAUCAAAGGGGGCGCAAGCUCUCGCCGGAGGAGGGGUCCGCGUCCGAUUAGCUAGUUGGUAGGGUAAUGGCCUACCAAGGCGACGAUCGGUAGCCGGCCUGAGAGGGUGAUCGGCCACACUGGAACUGAGACACGGUCCAG